UAAGCAAAUAAAAAAUCUGAAAAAAUUUAAAAUAUAUUGUAUAUGAGACUAUCUGAGAAUGUAUUAAAUAUGUGUAUGAUAAAGUAUAAAAAAAUAUUAUACAAAGAGAAAAUCUAACUUAUGAGAAGAAAAAUUACUAGUAAAACUAUAUUUUUAUUGCAUUUUAUAAGUGAGAAAAUGAUCAUUGUAUGAUUAAAUAUAACAUUUUAUCUUUGAUUUUAAUAUUUUGAUUUUUUUCUGAUAUUUUCUGAUUUUUAUUUGCAUUCAUUAAUUUAAAAUUGUCAAUGAAGUCACGCGAUUUUAGCCAACAAAUCGCAGCAAAAAGCUUCUACGCAUGCAUUUCGAUGGUACAUGGUUCUUCAUGCCGUAACGGUCGUCCUGACUCGUCAUCGUAACAGUGCAGUGUAGUUGAGUCAAUUGAGUGUAGUGGUCAUGGUCAGUGGUAGUGGUGUAAUACUUUGCAAGUACCAUGUUCUUAUAUGUAAUAUUUUUACAUUGAAUUGGAGUAUUUUGCAUAAUAUCGGAUCUCCCUGGAUGAAAAAAACCUCAGGAAAUUGUGGAAUAAUAUUGCCAAACAUUGGAAACAAUACGAGAGCAAGCAUUUCAUAUUUUAUUGUUGACAAACCUCGCAUAUUUUAUUUUAUAAGUUCUCUCAAAGAAGUGUAUGAACGGUUAGUUUUAUGAACAUAUAUAAAAUAUGUUAGAUAUUGCUAAUUGAAAAAACUAUUAUUUAAUUACAUUUAAAAUUGUAGAAUAUACAAUCUCUAAUUAUUAUAAGCUUAAUUCUACAAAAAUGUAUAUAUUUUUAACUUCAAAUAUCUUUGUAACUAAAUUUUGAAUUAGAAUUUCAUUAAAGUAAAAUUCACUUGAAAAUAAUAUCAAAGUAUUAAUUGUAUACAUUUUAAUUUUUUUUUUAACCACGUUGAGAUUAAUCAUCAGCCAUUCACUGCAGUGCUUGAACAGUAAAAAAAUUCUAGACACCGUUUGCUGUGAAUGGAUGCAGUGGUCAAUUGCAACGUGAUAAAACAAGACCCUCCCAUAUAUUAACAAAUUUACAAAAUACUAUAUGAACUUCCAAUUACUGCGCAUUAUUUUUAAGUACUUUUUAUGCUUUUAAUACUUUUAAUGCUAAUUUAUUAAAGAUUGUAUAUAAUAAUAUUAAUUUUUAAUUGUAAAUCAGAAAAAAAUGAAUAAAAAUAUUGAUAUGUAAUGCAUUAAAAGUAUGUGAAAAAAAUGGGCAAUGAUUAGAAUUUUUGAGUGCCGUAUGCAUGCAUGCGAGCAAUAUGAGUCUCAUUUGGAAAACGCAUUUGAGGCUCAUAUCGUUCGCACGCAUGAGUACCGCACGUGUGCGACCAAUAUGAGUCUCAUAUGAUGACGCAUCUGUUGGAUACCGUGAGCUCACACCGUGCGGAUAAUCCGCACAGCAUCCGCGCUCCGCGCUCACUAUGCGCGCAUUUUGUUAUCUGGGUAAUCACAUUUUACCUGUAUAGAAAUAUUCAAAAGCUUUCUGUCCAAUCAAGACUCUAAUGCGUAAUCAACGCGCUAUUUAUUGAAUAAAUUGAAAUAACGAUGAAAGUAACGGCUGAAUUCGUUACCGUUACUGUAAAAAUGUAAUAUAAAAAUGUCAUUAUAAACCAAAAAAGUAAUGAUUAUUGCCGUAAAAAAGUAACGAAAAUAGUAAUGGGUAAUAGUAACGCGUUACUUCCCAACUCUAUUAUAUUGUAAUAAACAAAUGAAGUGUCUUACAUCAAUCAUAUGUACAUCUAAAGGUGAGCAGUAUUUGAAAUACGUCUUUAAACACAUUUUGUAUUUAAAUAUAUUUUUGGAAAGUAUUUUGUAUUUCAAUCGGUGUUAGGUAAAAACCUGUUUUUUUUAAGAAAAACCAAAAAAUCAAGUUUUUUUUGUUUAAACCAUGCCAACCCUGAUUUAAAUACAAUUAUUAACAUAUUUUGGUUACUCACACUUGGCUAGAUCUUAGUGCUAAUAUUUGUUAUGUCAUUUUAUAUACCUUAUAAAGUUCACGAAAUUGCGCGCCGAAUUAAUUUUCGGUCUUAAAACACAAUUAUAAGAUAAAGAAAAAUUAGUAAUAUCACGUUAUUAAAUUGAAAAUCAACUUAAUAGUAAAUGAUGCUAACAAGCAUCUAAAAAUAUAUAUAACCCUUUCCCCCUUAAUAAAAACUGUUAAAAAUCUGUUGUUUAUCUUAUUUGUCUUGUUCAUCCUAUAAUUAUGUUUCAAAACCAAAAAUUUAAUUCGGCGCGUAGUUUCGUGAAUUUAAAAAGAUAUAUAAAAUCAUAAUAAAUAUUAUAGAUUAAGAUCUAAUUAUAACCGAUGUAAAACAUUUUAUUUAUUGUAUUUGUCACAUCUCAGUUAAUGUUUUCUAUUUAAUUUAAUUUAUAUUGUAGUACUUACAUUUCGUUGCAAUAACGCUUGGAUUUGAUCAUUUACAGCAAAAACAGUCUCCAUAAUUUAAAACAAUCUUUGAAUUGUAUAGUCACUUUAUCCAAAACAUUCACAAACUCUGUCAAAAAGAAAAAAAUAAACAAUAUUAUAUAAGUUAUUUAGAGUAGUGUCUCUUAUACAUUUAUUUUAUCAUAUACAAUAACAUGGAAGGUAUUAAUUAAAAUAUUGUAAAGAUAAAGUUUAAGUUUAAAUCUUAAUUUUUUAAAAUUUGAAGAUUUUAAAGUUAUUCUACGAGUUUUUCCCAAACCUGAUUAUGAAAUAACUCCUCCAGUAGAAAUCGGAAGAAGGUAAUAAAUAUAUUUACAAUUAAUAUUGUUUUAUUUUACAAUUUAUAUAAAAUGAGACAUUUAUCAAUUUGAAAAAUUUUUCAACUUGAGAUAAAUAGAUAAAAAGAUAUAUGUAUGAAUAUAAAUAUAUCUAUAAAUAUGUAUGGAUAUCUUACCUCAAGUGCCUUUUUAGCUAUUAAUUUUAAAAUGUUUCCCUUAUUAUGUCAUUUUAUAUACGAAGUCUACUAUUAUUUCCUUUAAUUCGUAAAUAAAUUGCUAAUGUUAACAAUUUGUGUCUAUUUUUAUAAACAUCCCUUUGGUUAUUUAAACAGUACUCAAUCAAGAUUAAUUUAUAUACUGUUAAUCUAACUUGAAGUGGUAAUAUAUCGACUUUGAAUUCAUUCAAUAUUUGGAGCAAUUUAAUAAGAUCACACUCGUCUUUAAUUUUUAUAUCAUCUUCGAUGAAAUCGAAGUAAGUUCUGCAACAAUUAUUUCCAUAAUUCAGAUUAAAUUAUUAUAUACAAUUAUUAUGUCAAUAAGUUACUUAUUUAGCUAAGCUAGCCUCUCUCUCUUUUUUUCUAAGUUAAUUAUAAUUAAUAUCAUAAACCAAACAUCAAUGAUGGAAAAUAAUAACAAUCAAUAAUCACAAACGUUGGACAUGUCGGUUGAUUUUUAUCAAAAUAAUGAUUGUUUAAUAGUUUGUUCAAUAUUAAUCAAAUCACAUUAUAAAAUCAAAAACUGUAUUUUUCGUUUGAAAGCGAGAAAAUUUCUGUCACUCGUAUAAAAUGUUAAAAGAUUUCCCAUAUACGACAAGACUCGUUAUCAUUUUGCCCUUCCGUCCAGGAGUUGAGAAGAUUGUCCCUCCUGCGAGUUCAAUAGAAUAGUAACGCGGUUGAAGGUGUAACUCGAAAACCGCCAGCUUACAGAGCUAUGUCGUACAGUUCUGUGACAAUAUUUUCAAUAUCUAUGACAAUUCUCAUUACAAAUUUUCUCAUGGACAUCGGUAGCGACAGUAAGUAUUGUCAUAGAACUGUACGACAUAAUUCUCUCCUUUAUCUCCGAUAACUGAUGAACUAACCAGUCAUGGAAUAUAUGGGAAAUCUUUUGAGUGACAGAUCAUCUCGUUAUAUGAGUGACAGCAUUCUUAUAUGAGUGACAGAUCAUCUCGUUUUCAAACAAAAAAAACACAAUAUUUGAGAGAGAGAGAGAGAGAGAGAGAGAGAGAGAGAGAGAGAAAGAGAGAAAGAGAAAGAGUAUUCUUAUAUGAGUGACAAAUCAUCUCGUUUUCAAACAAAAAAUACACAAUAUUUGAGAGAGAGAGAGAGAGAGAGAGAGAGAGAGAGAGAGAGAGAGAAAGAGAAAGCGGAAAAAGAGAAGAGAGAGGAAAGAGCGGUGAGAGAGGAGAGAGAAUACGGAGAGAAAGAUGUGAUUCGGUCUAUCUUAGAGAGCGGAGAGAAAGGAGAGAGGGGGAGAGAGAGAGAGAGAGAGAAAAUAUACGGAGAGAAAAAUGUGAUUCAGUCAAUCUUAGAGAGCGGAGAUCGGAGAGAGAGGGGAGGAGAGAGAGAGAGAGAGAGAGAGAGAAUAUACGGAGAGAAAAAUGUGAUUCAGUCAAUCUUAGAGAGCGGAGAGCGGAGAGAGAGGGGUGAGAGAGAGAGAGAGAGAGAGAGAAUACGGAUAGAAAGAUGUGAUUCGGUCUAUCUUAGAGAGCGGAGAGAGCGGAGAGAAAGGAGAGAGGGAGAGAGGGGGAGAGAGAGAGAGAAAAUAUACGGAGAGGAAAAUGUGAUUCAGUCAAUCUUAGAGAGCGAAGAGAGAGGGGAGAGAGAGAGAGAGGGAGAGAGAGAGAGAGAGAGAGAGAGAGAGAGAGAAAGAGAAUAUACGGAGAGAAAAAUGUGAUUCAGUCAAUCUUUGUGAGCGGAGAGAGCGGUGCGGGAGAGAGAGAGAAUACGGAUAGAAAGAUGUGAUUUAGUUAAUAUACGGAUAGAAAGAUGUGAUUUAGUUAAUCUUAGAGAGCAAAGAGCGGUGAAA
Molecule: long non-coding RNA, 4752 nt
Organism: Solenopsis invicta (red fire ant)
Lineage: Eukaryota; Metazoa; Arthropoda; Insecta; Hymenoptera; Formicidae
Exons: 2
Source: RefSeq, a predicted model, not a curated record